CCUACGGGAGGCUGCAGUGAGGAAUAUUGGUCAAUGGGCGUAAGCCUGAACCAGCCAAGUCGCGUGAGGGAUGAAGGUUCUAUGGAUCGUAAACCUCUUUUAUAAGGGAAUAAAGUGUGGGACGUGUCCUAUUUUGUAUGUACCUUAUGAAUAAGGAUCGGCUAACUCCGUGCCAGCAGCCGCGGUAAUACGGAGGAUCCGAGCGUUAUCCGGAUUUAUUGGGUUUAAAGGGUGCGUAGGCGGAUCGUUAAGUCAGUGGUCAAAUUGAGGGGCUCAACCCCUUCCCGCCAUUGAAACUGGCGUUCUUGAGUGGAAGAGAAGUAUGCGGAAUGCGUGGUGUAGCGGUGAAAUGCAUAGAUAUCACGCAGAACCCCGAUUGCGAAGGCAGCAUGCCGGCUUCCGACUGACGCUGAAGCACGAAAGCGUGGGGAUCGAACAGGAUUAGAUACCCCAGUAGUC
RNAcentral lists this ribosomal RNA (459 nucleotides) under uncultured bacterium. Its description in RNAcentral is "partial 16S ribosomal RNA". It matches the Rfam family "Bacterial small subunit ribosomal RNA", at positions 338 to 795 of the family's 1533-position model. The record is from RNAcentral.